GACUAUUUAGUGGUAAUACUUGCACUCAGCUCACUAGUAACACACGUACUCACUAGUGCAGCUCAGGACAAACACACACACACGAGGAGGAGUACUACUUGAGGCUGAUUGCCUUGCUUUCGUUGGAAUGGAAUGCGUUACAGCGACGGAGCUCGGCUCCUUAUAUAGGCUAGCGAACCGACUAUGGUACGUAACGGGUGACGUCAAGCACAUGAGUGAGCUCAUGGCUUACGUAUAUUUCCUUAGCUACUAAGGCUACAGCAGCUGCAGUCAUUUAUUCAUUUUUCACUGCUGCCGACAUGCAACCAUGCAUGCAUCUGAGACUAGCUACGUAAAUGCUGCUGCUGCCAUUGUGUGCACUGGAAGACCAAGGUUGACUCAACAUUCUCCCCCUCAACCUUGUAGAAGGAGCUUGGUGUCGAUGAUCCCGACCUUGUCGCGCAGCUCCUGGAACCGGACACGACCAAGUGACUUGGUCAGGAUGUCCGCCUUCUGUUCACCAGUCCUGACGAACUCCACGAUCACCGAGCCUUUCUCGACGCAGUCACGUAUGAAGUGAUAGCGGAGAUCGAUGUGUUUGCUGCGGUCGUGAAGCACUGGAUUCUUACCGAGGGAAAUCGCCGACUUGUUGUCGACGAAGAUGAGCGCAGGGGCGGUGUCCUGAUUCAGCAUCUCGCCGAUAAGGCGAGCAAGCCAAAUGCCUUGACAGGCUGCUGUAGCUGCCGCGAUGUACUCCGCCUCGCACGAAGAUACGGCGACAACCUUCUGCCUCACCGAUUGCCAGCUGACGGGACUAUUCCCGAGAAGGAAUAGUAUGCCCGAGGUGCUCUUCCGGGAGUCCACGUCACCAGCGUGGUCAGAGUCGCUGUAUCCGACCAAGCUUUCGCCGUCGCCACGAUGAUACACGCAUCCAUGCGUGAGCGUACCCGCGAUGUACCGGAGCAGGUGCUUGACAGCAGCGAGGUGAUCGCUUGCCGGGGCUUCCAUGAACCUACUCAGGUACCCGACAACGAACGUGAUGUCCGGUCGGGUGUGCACGAGGUACCUGAGACUCCCGAUGAUGCUACGGUAGAGUGUAGCAUCCACCGCCUUCUUGGAGCUCUCCUUGCUGAGCUUCAGCCGUGCCUCCAUUGGAGCGUGCACGGCAUGACAGUCCUUCAUGCCUGCUCGCUCGAGCAUCUUGGUGGCGUAGGCCGUCUGCGUGAUCGUGAUGCGACCACCCUCCUGGUUCACCUCCAGCCCGAGGUAGUAACGGAGCAGCCCAAGGUCGCUCAUGCUGAAGAGAUGAUGCAUCUCUCCCUUGAAGCGUUGAACCUCUUUAGGCUCUGCCCCGAUAAUGACCAAGUCGUCGACGUAGAUGCGGACGAUGAGCAGCGUGUUCGCGGUGCCACGCGAGUACACACCAUGCUCAGAAGCGCUGCAUGAGAACCCAAGGGAUGCGAGGCUUGCAUCGAGCUUGGCGUUCCCCGCCCUUGGGGCUUGCCGGAGACCAUACAGGGCCUUGUGUAGUCGAUACACGCCCUGCUCGUGGCCCUUGGCAACGAACCCGGGUGGUUGGGAGACGUACACCUCCUCGUUAAGGUCGCCGUUGAGAAACGCCGACUUGACGUACAUGUGGUGUACCUCCCACCCGCGGUGAGCGGCCAGGGCAAGGAUGAGCCGCACCGACUCCAGCCUUGCCACCGGAGCGAAGACUUCCUCGAAGUCCACUCCCUCACGCUGCACGUAGCCCUUUGCGACGAGGCGCGCCUUGUGCAUGACAAUGGCACCGUGCUCGUCCUUCUUCACCUUGAACACCCACUUGAGCCCGAUGGCUCGGUGCCCAGCAAGCAGUGUGGUGAGUGUCCAAAUGGCGUUGUCGUUGAUCGACGCCAGCUCGUCCAACAUCGCGUGGCGCCAGCAAUCCUCUUGCUCGGCCUCCGCGAAUGUGGUCGGCUCCUCGCCGGCCAUCAGAUGCAAGACGUCGUCGUCAUCAACAUCCUCUUCCUCGGGCUGUUGCGGUGUUGCCACAGCCUCGUCGAGGAGAUCCCCCAUGCGCCGAAACCUGUGGGGGGCGCCAACACUGUCGUCGGCGUCGAACAACUCCGACCUUGCUGUUGGCGGGGUCGCGAACAGCCUCCCGGGAACCACCUUGCUUGAUGUCGGGGUGUCUGGGGACACCAUACCCGGGGACGGUGUUCUCGGGGUUGCGGUUCCCGGAUCCACACCUCCCGGGCUUCCCGGCGUGGCAAUUCCUGAGGUCUUGCUUCUCGGGGUUGUAGAGUACAUCGGGUACUCCACAGUGAAGGAGCUGCUUGCCGGGGCCUCCCCCGACGCCUCCCAUGUCCAUCGCGCGUCUUCGUCGAAGAUGACGUCGCGAGAGACAUGUACGCGCUUUGAGACGGGGUCGUACAUCUUGUACGCCUUAGAGCCCGUCUCGUAGCCCAUGAACACCAUUGCGGUGCUCCUGUCGUCGAGCUUCUUCAGCUGUGGGCGCGUCGUCUUGACGUGCCCGACGCAGCCAAAGGUACGAAGGAAGCGUACAUCGGGCUUCCUCCCAUACCACGCCUCGUAAGGCGUCUUGCCGUCGACGCUCCUUGUGAAGGAGCGGUUGAGGAUGAAGACGGCCGUGAGCACGGCCUCCCCCCAAUACGUGCUCGGCACCUGUUUUGCCUUGAGCAUGCAGCGUGCCAUCCCGAGCACCGUUUGGUUCCUCCGCUCGACGACGUCAUUUUGCUGUGGCGAGUAAGGGGCUGUGAGGUGACGUUGCACCCCUUUCUCGUCGCAGUGCUUGUAGAACGUGGUCGACGUGAACUCACCGCCACGGUCCGUGCGCAGCACGCGCAGCUUGUGGCCACACUCGACCUCUGCUGCCGCUUGCUGCUUGACGAUGGCUCGCUCCGCCUCAUCCUUGGAGGCGAGGAGCAGCACCCACAUGAACCUGUUGUAGUCGUCGACGAGCAGCAGGAUGUAGCGACGCCCUCCUGGCGUUGCCGGGGUGAUUGGGCCACAGAGGUCCCCGUGAACCAGCUCCAGGGGUUUCUGCGCCCGAUAGCGUGCCUUCUCGGGAAACGGCAGACGCCGCUGCUUCCCCGCAAGACAUGCAUCACACAGCUUGUCGGCGUGCUUGAUGUGAGGUAGCCCACGAACGAGGUUGCCUCGCGCCAUCUUUCGCAACCCGUCAAAGUGCUGGUGUCCUAGCCGGGCAUGCCAACGCCACGCAUCGGAGACAUGGCCCACGGCAAGGCACACAGGAUGCACGGGUUGAAAGAAGAAUUUGUAGAGGCGGUUCGGCGAGCGGGUAACCUCGAUGAGCAGCCUCUUCUGCUGGUCGUGCACGGUGAGAACACCGCGCUGGAUGCCGAUGUCGAACCAGCCCUCGUCGAGUUGUCCGACACUCACGACGCUGCUUGUGAGCGCCGGGAUGAAGUAGACGUCCGUGAACGCCCUGUGAUCACCCCCUUUGUCGGCGAAGACGACGGUCCCGCGCCCGUGGAUCUCCACCACGGAUCCGUCCGCGAACUGCACCUUCCCGGUGAUUGAGCGGUCCAGCUCCACGAACGCAUCGAUCGAACCAGUCAUGUGGUUCGUGGCGCCGGUGUCGAGGAACCAACCCUCACUUUGCUUGCCGCCUGCAAGCGUGGGUGUGGUCACGGCUCUCUCCUCGCUGAGGAAGACGUAGCCGCACGCACAUGCCGUUGUCAGGGAGCCAUCUCCCGACAACACGGUGGACCCCGAACACUUUGUUGUCGGGGUGUGGCUGACCUGAGUCUCCGUAUGCUCCUGCACGGAGUCGAUGGUCGCCAGCAUCAUGGUCGGAGCAUGGUCCGCCAUAUGCGUCGUUGCCGCGCCAACUUGCGCGAUCUUGUCGGGUCCCGAGGUUGUCGGGGACGCCAUCGUCGGGGUGUGGCUUCCCCAUACCCGAGCCUUCAUCGCCUCCCAGUCGACAGGCCCCGAGAACGUCAUUGUCGAGGUGUGGCCUGUCACUGGAGUGAUGGUUCCCGUGGACGGGCUUCGUGCCUCCUGCACGGAAUGGGUGGUUGUCGGGGCCGUGGUCGUGGGAGACGCUGAGCUCUCCUACACGGGCUCGACUCUUGCCAGCAUCAUUGCCGGCCCACCAUCCACGUCAGCCUGGACGAGGUUUGCCGUUGCCGCGGCUGCCUCGUCGGCUUUCCUCCUGUGACAAUCCCGGAUCCAGUGACCCGGCAUGUUGCAGUAGCGGCACUUGCCACCGUUGCCAGCGCCUCGCCCUGCCUGGCUUGGCCUGCGACCGCGGUUGCCGCCACCGCUCUGGGCACGGCCUCCGCCUCUGCCGCGACCUCUGCUUCCCGUGGGGGCGCCUCCCCCACUGCCGGAAGAGCCGUCGCGGCCGCGCUGCUGAAGCUGCACGUCCCACUGCUCCCUGGUGAGCAGUAGUUCGCCGCCAGCAUGGUGUUGGCGUCGUCGCCGCGCUCCUCGACGACCUUCAGCCUCCCUACUAGCUCCUCGAUCGUCAUGGUGGAGAGAUCCACCAAGCUCUCGAUGGACCAGGCCAGUUGCUUGUACUGCCUGGGGACGACGCGGAGAAACUUGAGAAUCACCAUCUUGUUGUCGAUGGGAUCUCCGAGCGUUGUGAGCUCGUUGACGAGACCUUGCAGCCACAAGGCGAAGUCAUCGACUUGUUCACCGGCCUUGAACCGGAUCUCCUCGUACUGGAGGCGCAAGGUCUGGGCCUUCGACUCCCGUACGCACUCCACGCCGAUGCGCAGAGUCUUGAUGUUCUCCCAUGCUUCCUUGGCCGUCUUCUUGGCGCCAAGGGUGAGCACCAUCUCCUCUGGGACGGAGCGCAAGAUCGCCUCCAUCGCCAGCCGGUCCUCCUCAUACUCGACAUCGCCGGUUUCCACGGCUUUCCACAUAUGUCGCGCCUCCAUGAAGACUUUCAUCAUGACCGACCAACUAGGGUAGUUGGUCCGCGUGAGGAGGGGAAGGAGGUGCUGGACAUGCCCACGUCUCGCACGGAGCGUGGCGCACCUAGCUCACCUCCCGGCCUUCCUCGCAGCGCGAGCGCGUCCGCCGCACGGGUGUCCUCAGCCGAGCUCUGCUCGGUGGUCUUGGAACCGUCAUCGGCGACGCCUCCUUUCGGCAUAUGCUUCGGCAUAACCCGAGGCUCUGAUGCCAAUUGUUAGCCCAGAACUACUUGCUAGCACUCGAGUACACUGAUACACGACCGGCGNNNNNNNNNNNNNNNNNNNNNNNNNNNNNNNNNNNNNNNNNNNNNNNNNNNNNNNNNNNNNNNNNNNNNNNNNNNNNNNNNNNNNNNNNNNNNNNNNNNNNNNNNNNNNNNNNNNNNNNNNNNNNNNNNNNNNNNNNNNNNNNNNNNNNNNNNNNNNNNNNNNNNNNNNNNNNNNNNNNNNNNNNNNNNNNNNNNNNNNNNNNNNNNNNNNNNNNNNNNNNNNNNNNNNNNNNNNNNNNNNNNNNNNNNNNNNNNNNNNNNNNNNNNNNNNNNNNNNNNNNNNNNNNNNNNNNNNNNNNNNNNNNNNNNNNNNNNNNACACGACCGGCGGAAGAGCCAAGUGCUACUACUGCGUGCGCUCAGGCAGUAGUAGCACUUGGCUCUUCCACCGGUCGUGUAUCAGUGUACUCGAGUGCUAGCGAGUAGUUCUGGGCUAACAAUUGGUAUCAGAGCCUCAGGUUAUGCCGAAGCAUAUGCCGAAGGAAGGCGUCGCCGGCGACGGCUCCAAGACCGCCGGGCAGAGCUCGGCUGAGGACACCCGUGCGGCGGACGCGCUUGCGCUGCGAGGCAGGCCGGGAGGUGAGCUGGGUGCGCCACGCUCCGUGCGAGACGUGGGCAUAUCCAGUACCUCCUUCCCUCUCCUCCCGCGGACCAACUACCCCAGUUGGUCCGUCAUGAUGAAAGUCAUCAUGGAGGCGCGGCAUAUGUGGAAAGCCGUGGAAACCGGCGAUGUCGAGUACGAGGAGGACCGGCUGGCGAUGGAAGCGAUCUUGCGCUCCGUCCUAGAGGAGAUGGUGCUCACCCUUGGCGCCAAGGAGACGGCCAAGGAAGCAUGGGAGACCAUCAAGACUCUGCGCAUCAGCGUGGAGCGCGUACGGGAUUCGAAGGCCCAGACCUUGCGCCUCCAGUACGAGGAAAUCCGGUUCAAGGCCGGUGAACAAGUCGACGACUUCGCCUUGCGGCUGCAAGGUCUCGUCAACGAGCUCGCAACGCUCGGAGAUCCCAUCAACAACAAGAUGGUGAUUCUCAAGUUCCUCCGCGUCGUCCCCAGGCAGUACAAGCAACUGGCCUGGUCCAUUGAGAGUUUGGUGGAUCUCUCCACCAUGACGAUCGAGGAGCUGGUAGGGCGGCUGAAGGUCGUCGAGGAGCGCGGCGACGAAGCCGACAACCAUGCUGGCGGCGAACUACUGCUCACCAAGGAGCAAUGGGACGCGCAGCUUCAGCAGCGCGGCCGCGAUGGCUCUUCCAGUAGUGGGGGAGGCGCCCCCACGGGAAGCAGAGGUCGCGGCACAGGCGGAGGCCGCACCCAGAGCGGUGGCGGCAACCGCGGUCGCAAGCCAAGCCGGGCAGGGAGAGGCGCUGGCAACGGUGGCAAGUGCCGCUACUGCAACAUGCCGGGUCACUGGAUCCGGGAUUGCCACAGGAGGAAAGCCGACGAGGCAGCCGCGGCAACGGCAAACCUCGUCCAGGCUGACGUGGAUGGUGGGCCGGCAAUGAUGCUGGCAAGAGUCGAGCCCGUGCAGGAGAGCUCAGCGUCUCCCACGACCACGGCCCCGACAACCACCCAUUCCGUGCAGGAGGCACGAAGCCCGUCCACGGGAACCAUCACUCCAGUGACAGGCCACACCUCGACAAUGACGUUCUCGGGGCCUGUCGACUGGGAGGCGAUGAAGGCUCGGGUGUGGGGGAGCCACACCCCGGCGACGGCAUCCCCGACAACCUCGGGACCCGACAAGGUCGCGCGAGUUGGCGCGGCAAUGACGCAUAUGGCGGACCAUGCUCCGACCAUGAUGCUGGCGACCAUCGACUCCAUGCAGGAUCGCACGGAGACUCAGGUCAUCCACACCCCAACGCCGAAGUGUUCGGGGUCCACCAUGAUGAUGGGAGAUGGCUCCCCGACAACGGCAUGUGCGUGCGGCUACGUCUUCCUCAGCGAGGAGAGAGCCGUGACCACACCCACGCUUGCAGGCGGCAAGCAAAGUGAGGGUUGGUUCCUCGACACCGGCGCCACGAACCACAUGACUGGUUCGGUCGACGCGUUCGCGGAGCUGAACCGCUCAAUCACCGGGAAGGUGCGGUUCGCGGACGGAUCCGUGGUGGAGAUCCACGGGCGCGGGACCGUUGUCUUCGCCGACAAAGGGGGUGAUCACAGGGCGUUCACGGACGUCUACUUCAUCCCGGCGCUCACGAGCAGCGUCGUGAGUGUCGGACAACUCGACGAGGGCUGGUUCGACAUCGGCAUCCGGCGCGGUGUUCUCACCGUGCACGACCAGCAGAAGAGGCUGCUCAUCGAGGUUACCCGCUCGCCGAACCGCCUCUACAAAUUCUUCUUUCAACCCGUGCAUCUUGUGUGCCUUGCCGUGGGCCAUGUAUCUGACGCCUGGCGUUGGCAUGCCCGGCUAGGACACCAGCACUUCGACGGGUUGCGAAAGAUGGCGCGAGGCAACCUCGUUCGUGGGCUACCUCACAUCGAGCACGCCGACGAGCUGUGUGAUGCAUGUCUUGCAGGGAAGCAGCGGCGUCUGCCGUUUCCCAAGAAGGCAUGCUAUCGGGCACAGAAACCCCUGGAGUUGGUUCACGGGGACCUCUGCGGCCCAAUCACCCCGGCAACGCCAGGAGGGCGUCGCUACAUCCUGUUGCUCGUCGACAACUACAGCAGGUUCAUGUGGGUGCUGCUCCUCGCCUCCAAGGAUGAGGCGGAGCGAGCCAUCGUCAAGCAGCAAGCGGCAGCAGAGGUCGAGUGCGGCCACAAGCUGCGCGUGCUGCGCACGGACCGUGGCGGUGAGUUCACGUCGGCCACGUUCUACAAGCACUGCGACGAGAAAGGGGUGCAACGUCACCUCACAGCCCCUUACUCGCCGCAGCAGAACGGCGUCGUCGAGCGGAGGAACCAGACAGUGCUUGGGAUGGCACGCUGCAUGCUCAAGGCAAAACAGGUGCCGAGCACGUAUUGGGGGGAGGCCGUGCUCACGGCCGUCUUCAUCCUCAACCGCUCCUUCACAAGGAGCGUCGACGGAAAGACGCCUUACGAGGCGUGGUAUGGGAGGAAGCCAGAUGUACGCUUCCUCCGUACCUUUGGCUGCGUCGGGCACGUCAAGAUGACGCGCCCGCAGCUGAAGAAGCUCGACGACAGGAGCACCCAAAUGGUGUUCAUGGGCUACGAGACGGGCUCUAAGGCGUACAAGAUGUAUGACCCCGUCUCAAAGCGUGUGCAUGUCUCUCGUGACGUCAUCUUCGACGAAGACGCGCGAUGGACUUGGGAGGCGUCGGGGGAGGCCCCGGCAAGCAGUUCCUUCACUUUGGAGUACCCGAUGUACUCUACAACCCCGAGAAGCAAGACCUCGGGAAUUGCCAUGCCGAGAAGCCCAGGAGGUGUGGUUCCGGGAACCGCAACCCCGAGAACACCGUCCCCGGGUAUGGUGUCCCCAGACACCCUGACAUCAAGCAAGGUGGUUCCCGGGAGGCUGUUCGUGACCCCGCCAACAGCAAGGUCGGAGUUGUUUGACGCCGACGACAGUGUUGGCGCCCCCCAUAGGUUUCGGCGCAUGGGGGAUCUCCUCGGCGAGGCUGCGGCAACACCGCAACAUCUCGAGGAUAAGGACGCUGAUGACGAUGAGGUCUUGCAUCUGAUGGACGGCGAGGAGCCGACCACGUUCGUGGAGGCCGAGCAAGAGGAUUGCUGGCGCCACGCGAUGCUGGACGAGCUGGCGUCGGUCAACGACAACGCCACUUGGACACUCACCACACUGCCUGCUGGGCACCGAGCCAUCGGGCUCAAGUGGGUGUUCAAGGUAAAGAAGGACGAGCACGGUGCCAUUGUCAAGCACAAGGCGCGCCUCAUCGCAAAGGGCUACGUGCAGCGUGAGGGAGUGGACUUCGAGGAAGUCUUCGCUCCGGUGGCAAGGCUGGAGUCGGUAUGGCUCAUCCUUGCCGUGGCCGCUCACCGCGGGUGGGAGGUACACCACAUGGAUGUCAAGUCGGCAUUUCUCAACGGUGACCUUAACGAGGAGGUGUACGUCUCCCAGACACCCGGGUUCGUUGCAAAGGGCCACGAGCAGGGCGUGUAUCGACUACACAAGGCCCUGUAUGGUCUCCGGCAAGCCCCAAGGGCGUGGAAUGCCAAGCUCGAUGCAAGCCUCGCAUCCCUUGGGUUCUCACGCAGCGCUUCUGAGCAUGGUGUGUACUCGCGUGGCACCGCGAACACGCUGCUCAUCAUCGGCAUCUACGUCGACGACUUGGUCAUUACCGGGGCAGAGCCUAAAGAGGUUCAACGCUUCAAGGGAGAGAUGCAUCGUCUCUUCAGCAUGAGCGACAUUGGGCUGCUCCGUUACUACCUCGGGCUGGAGGUGUACCAGGAGGAUGGUCGCAUCACGAUCACACAGACGGCCUACGCCACCAAGAUGCUCGAGCGAGCAGGCAUGAAGGACUGCUAUGCUGUACAUGCUCCAAUGGAGACACGGCUGAAGCUCAGCAAGGAGAGCCCCGAGAAGGCGGUGGAUGCCACACUCUACCGUAGCAUCAUCGGGAGUCUCAGGUACCUCGUGCACACCCGACCGGACAUAACGUUUGUUGUUGGGUACCUGAGUAGGUUCAUGGAAGCUCCGGCAAGCGAUCACCUGGCUGUCGUCAAGCACCUGCUCCGGUACAUCGCGGGUACGCUCACGCAUGGAUGCGUGUAUCGUCGUGGCGACGGUGAGAGCUUGGUCGGGUACAGUGACUCCGACCACACUGGUGACGUGGACUCUCGAAAGAGCACCUCAGGCAUACUAUUCCUUCUCGGGAAUAGUCCCGUCAGCUGGCAAUCGGUGAGGCAGAAGGUUGUCGUUGUAUCUUCAUGCGAGGCAGAGUACAUCGCGGCAGCUACAGCGGCAUGUCAGGGGAUUUGGCUUGCUCGCCUUCUCGGCGAGAUGCUGAAUCAGGACACCGCCCCUGCGCUCAUCUUCGUCGACAACAAGUCGGCGAUUUCCCUAUGUAAGAAUCUAGUGCUUCACGACCGCAGCAAACACAUCGAUCUCCGCUAUCACUUCAUACGUGACUGCGUCGAGAAAGGCUCGGUGAUCGUGGAGUUCAUCAGGACUGGUGAACAGAAGGCGGACAUCCUGACCAAGUCACUUGGUCGUGUCCGGUUCCAGGAGCUGCGCGACAAGGUCGGGAUCAUCGACAUCAAGCUCCUUCGACAAGAUUGAGGGGGAGAAUGUUGUGUCAAACUUGUCUCCGAAGGCUGCAUGUCGGCAGCAUGCAUGCACCAGGGUAGUGUUACUUAGCUACGAAGGGAGUAGCAGUAAGUUUGCAAGACCAUUUUGUUUUCUCUACUAUUGUAGAUCAGCAUAGCGUGCAGGUCGGCAAGUCGUAAGAAGCCGUAGCUUACUGGUUAAGGUAAGUCUGUGACGUAAGUGCUUAGCUAAGAGCUAGCAGAUAUUUUAGCCCAUAGUCGGUUUGUAAGCACUAUAUAAGGGGCUGCACUCCACCCGGUUGUAGCAUUCCAUUCCAAGCCAAGAGCUAAUAUAAGUACUACUGCUAGAUACUCGCGUGUGUGUGUGUGAGCUACACCAGUGAGUGUACGCUUCACUAGCGUCUUUGAGCACAGCAAGCUCAGAGAGUAGAGCGAGAGUAGUGGUCAGCAGCGUAGCUCGGGCUAACAAUUGGUAUCAGAGCCGGCGAAUUGUUAGCCGGUCGUGUAUCAGUGUACUCGAGUGCUAGCGAGUAGUUCUGGGCUAACAAUUCGCCGGCGACGCCUUCCUUCGGCAUAUGCUUCGGCAUAACACGAGGAGGAGUACUACUUGAGGCUGAUUGCCUUGCUUUCGUUGGAAUGGAAUGUGUUACAGCGACGGAGCUCGGCUCCUUAUAUAGGCUAGCGAACCGACUAUGGUACAUAACGGGUGACGUCAAGCACAUGAGUGAGCUCAUGGCUUACAUAUAUUUCCUUAGCUACUAAGGCUACAUCAGCUGCAGUCAUUUAUUCAUUUUUCACUGCUGCCGACAUGCAACCAUGCAUGCAUCUGAGACUAGCUACGUAAAUGCUGCUGCCAUUGUGUGCACUGGAAGACCAAGGUUGACUCAACACGUGAGGACGAUGAAGUGGCGGCGGUUGGUGUAGGGCACGGUCUCGAAGGUGCCGUAGCAGAUCGUGACCGCGCCGCCGACGAUGAUGACGACCCCCGCGAAGCCUAUGUGGGAUUUCACGUCGCUGGAACUUCUCGGCCGGCUGGAGGAGUAGUGCCGUGGGCGUGGGAGUUGGACCGCUGGCGCAUGCAGCGACGUCGACGGCGGUGGUCGACGCACGAGAGAGUCACGUUGGAAGAGGCGGCCAAGGCCAGGCGGCGAUCGCAGGGCCUCGUGAGAUCGCCGCGUCGACGGCGCGUGGUAGCAGCGCGGGCGCGGGGCGGUGGACGACGGCAGUGGAAGAGGCGUUCGGAUAGCGGGCUUGGACCGCAGUAGCCCGGACAGCGCGGGGCGGAGAUUCCUAAUGAACGCGCCCAUGUUCUCUCAGUUAGAUUGGUGGAUGCUUUUCGGGGCGCCGCUGGCCGGGAUGCCUCUUGGGGACGUACGGGCGCUCUCGGAUCCGUAUCGUAACAAUGUCGUCUACGUCGUGGCGCGGUCGACAGGUUGCCAUGAUUUAUUAGGGCUGCGCCAUACCUGUAGCCAUGUCCGUCUCGGUCUUGUUAUGUGUUUUGUCCAAUGUGGUACGACCUUCUUCUACAAGUACUGGAGUCUGAGGUUCAUAGGGUCUCCUCCUCCGAUCGAUUCUACUUAGUACGGAGUACUAGGGAUGCAGGCAGAUGGAUUAAUAAGCGUGCUCCCGGACGCGCACGGGCUCCCGGACGCCGCCCGCCUGCAUGCCUAAUCUAGUAGUACCAGCAGAGGGAUUGAAAUGCAAUUGGUAUAUAUAGUGUGAGACUGAAACAUGAAAUUGAAAUUGAAAUUUCUAGACCGCAUCCAUUUCAAUUUCCAGUCCAGUUUCAUGUACUGCAUCCAUUUCAAUUAAUGUGAGGCCGAAACAUGCAAUUGAAAUGCCACUAUAUAUAUAAUGUGGGAAUGAAAUAUGGAAUUGGAAUUGAAAUUUCCGGACCGUGUCCAUUUCAAUUUCCAAACCAAUUUCAGUUGCACAUCCAUUUCAUCUCCCACAUAUUUUAUUUAAUGUGAGGCUGAAAUACUCCCUCUAUUUUUGUAUACAAGGCCACAAACCCAUAUUACAGGUACCAAAGUAAAAAUUAAUACUUACUUAGGCCAAUGUUACAAACUAGUCUUUUCUCCUCGCUUGACAUAUUAAUUAAUGUGUAUUUUUCUCUUCAACGCACAACAAGACAACUCUCUCACUCCUCGUUGAUUGAUUAAUAUGGUGCAUUAAAACCAAUCUUCUCACUCCCAUAUGCAUGCAAGGCCUAUUAAUGUCCUUGGUUGCUAGUACGAGGCAAGCCUCAUCAAUAUUACCUCAAUCGAUGUUAGUGGCCUUGUAUACCUGCAAAUUGUAAUUUUGAUAGUGGCCUUGUAUACAAAAAUGGAGGGAGUAUGAAAAUUAAUUUUCACGUCAUGACUAUCAAUGUGAAACUGAAAUGGCGAAAACUGAACAACUUCAAAAUUUAUCAACAUUUUAUGUUGUUUUAAUGAUCUCGUCGCCGCGAAUUCGAAUAAAAAAAAUUGGAGAUGGAAUUUUGGUUUAGAAGAUAUGAGUGAUUUACAAUGUCACUGUGAAAUAAAAGGGUUGGCUUUUGUAUGGGAGACAAAGGAUAUAAAACAUGCAUGCACCAUCCUUCUCUGCGCUUUCUCUUUCUCUUUCCUGACAAGAUGACAAAAAGCUCAUAUACAUGCAAAGAUCCCUAAAAAGUGUUGAACGAUGGAUGCUUUCCAUGUACAUACAUCCUCCGCUAGAAAAUGUAAUUUUUUCUUCAACUUACCCUCCCUCCUCAGGCAGUUGAAGCACACCCCCAUCCUCUGUGCCGCAACCUCACGACACACUGAAGGGUCAGCAGCCUCCUGACUUUGUUUCUGAAGUACAUGGCCCUUCGCCAAGGCCGAGGGUUUCCCUGUUUGACAUGCCAAAUAAUGAUGGACCUCAAAAUCGGCUAUAGCGGGCUAUUUGUACAUAAGACCAUUUAGCGGCACCCUGUCGAAAAGGCUAUAGCGGAGCUAUAGCCGGCUAUUUAAAACUAUGCGUGCAACCUUUAAUGUUUUCUUCACACGCAAAUGUAGCAUUUGUGAGUGGUGUCCAUGAUGUAUGGACAUGCUCUAAGAAAAAUAUGACACGACAAAAGUUUCACCUGAUCAAUUCUUACUGCUAGUGGAGUGAUGAUGCACACAAAAUUCAAAAGAUUAUAGGUUGAACUCGCUGUGCCCGUACCCCUCGGGUCGCCCCCGUGGGCGACCAGGGGGAAACCCUAGCCGCCAGCACCCGUACUCCCCCGCAUCUCCUUCAUCCUCGCCACCGCCAGCGGCGCCGCUGGGCGAAGCCAGGCCGGCAGGGGCGGCGGCGGGGCUCCCUUCCCCUUCACGCGAAUAGGCUGGCGCGGGACGGCCGUUCGAGAGGAGGCGCCGUACUUUUGCGGGGUGCGGCGGCGCUGCAGAUGGAUCCUGGCCGCGACAUGCGCAGCGCGCCGGCGGUUGGGUUCGUGCUCGCGGCGUGGUGCGGCCGCUGGAUCUGGUGGUCGCCUGCGCAGUUGGUCUCGGGUCAGAUCCUUCUGGAUCCGGUGCGUGAUCGCCGUCAGGCGGCGCAGGAUGGUGGCUUUCGUCGCUGACCAGGUCAGGUUUUCUUUGAUCCGGCGCCUGAAUGGAUCUACACGGAGGUGUUGAGCCUUAUGGUGCUUUUCUCUCUGGAGUUUUCGGGUCUUGGCUGCUGCCGGAUCCAAAGCAGAUGGAGAUUGGUGGUACAGGAAGAGGACUGGAGGAAACUUUGGUCGGCUAGCUCGGCCCGGCAUCAGCUAUGGCUUUGACGUCGUUACCCAUCUUGAAGGCGAAGUGGAGGUCCCUCCUAUCCACCUCCGUCCUGUUCCCGGAUGAAAGUCCAAAAUCCGUCUUGGAUUGGACGGCUGCGGCGCCCUUUGCGUCGUAACCUCCAUGGAGGCGCCGUCUUGGGAGGCUUGGGCAUUCGGGGGAGUUGCUAUGGGUGAAGGGCUUCGUGUGUCAGCUCCAGCAGCGGCAAUGGUGUGGAGGUUGGCAGGAGGAGCGGCGUUCUAACCGCGUCAGAUGCGUCUGGUAAGAGAUGUCAAGUCAUGCAUGUCUGACAGGUGCUAUGCUGAGUCAUGCCUAGUCGGCAGGUGCUACGCACGACAGAUCUUUCAGUGUCCGCGUCGGGAUGGACGAGCGCAGAGCGGUGGAGCUGUCUGGCGUCGUGGUGGCGUCGACGGUAGCUAGACCAUGCAAGGUAGAUGCAACAGUACAGCUCUGAAGAUGGUUUGGUGGCAGGUGGCUGCGGCGGCCUCAUACCCGGCAGGCGUCCUGGUUGAGGAGUGCGCCGGACUGGUAGGUGCCCCAUACCUGGCAGGCGUCCUGGUUGGGACCUCAGGUCUUAGAUGUUUAGGUUUGGCUGCGAUGUCUGUUUGGUAUUAGGUCCAGACUAUCAGCGCCUCUUCAUCGAUUGGAUAGGUGUAGCGACAGUUGUUGCUUAGAAAGUGGCUUUAGUCUUGCUGUUGUAUGACUUUGUAAGGUCUUGUGAGAAUAAUUAAUAAAGUGGCCGUAUGCAUCGCCCAGAUGCAGAGGCCGGGGGUCAUCCUCCUUUUCUAAAAAAAAGUGGAGUGAUGAUGCUAUGUGAAGUGCUCAAAUGACUAUAUCUAUAUCUAUACCUACUAUUAAAAGGAGGUGAUAUUCUUGGUUUCAUCCCGUUUUGUUUGGUCCCGCUUCAAUUAAUUUCGCGUACACUAUUUGCUUUCGUUAUUUGCCACCCGUUUUGGCCCAAUGGAGGAAGCCCAUCCUGGUGGCGCAUUGUGGCCCAGGUCCGGAGAAAAAUAAAAUUGCCAGUGGGAGGGUUUGAUCUCAUAACCUGUCAACCGGCCACGCACAGUUUGUCCAACUGACCCAACUAAAGAUAUGAGUGUUUUUUUCUCCCGUUGCAACGCACGGACUUUUUUGCUAGUUCAGUUUAUAGGUUUGUUCCUGCUAACCAAAUGUAUUGUUUAUGGAUAUUCAUUUGAUUAGUUCACGAGUAAAUGUUGAAGUAUGGAUGUACAACACUAACAUAGUCUUGUGCUCAGACUGAAUCGUAUUUGUUUUGUGUGAUCUUUUCAGCACAUGAAGCUCGAUGAGCAAGAAGCACUAUAAUUGGAGGCCGAUUUUUUUUAUAGCAAUGGUUGUUCAAUGGUGAUCAUUUCAGUCCAUUUCCAGUCUUGUUGGUCAUGUACUAGAAAUGACCCUAUCAUGCAAUGUGUCACUGGAUAUGUAUGUGUGUCUCUUGUGUAUGCCCAGGAUGCUCCAUAUUGACAAGUACUCAGAUUGUGUGCAUGGGAUGUCCCUGUUUGACAUGUACUCAAAUAUUUGUACAAGAGAUGGCUCAGUUUGACAUGUACUCAAAUAUUUACCCAUAUGUUUUUGCCUGGGAUGGUCUAGCUUGACAUGUACCCAUAUAUUUGUGCCUGGGAUGGUCUAGCUUGACAUGUACUCAAAUAUUUGUGCCCAGGAUGGUCUAGUUUGAAAUGUAAUUGAAAGGGAUGGCUCAAUUUUCUCAGCACACUAAUAUCUCUGAUAGAUAUUGAGAUACUUUUUGUAUAAUCAGUGAUGCAGUAGAAGCUAUGAGGAUAUGUGCACAGAGGAGGCAUCAACGCUGUCAGGAUUUGAAAAAUACUCUUAUUUAUCAAUGACAAAACGAUGGGAUACGAGAAAGGUGAGGUGGUUACUGUAAAAGUCGUUUUCAUAAAAUGUACAUCAUGUCACCUGGGAUAUCUCCACCUGGAUCUGGGCCACUCAUCUCCAAUCCAAUGUUCCAUGUUCCUUUUUCUAUUUUUGCACCCAAUGCCCAGAUUCUAUAUACUAAUCCCUCCCGUAUAUAUGUGCCUAUACGGUGAUCACUGUGUAGGGAUAAGGCCUAACUGCUCGUAUAAUGUCAAUUAUUUUAAGAUAAUAUAAAUGUUUGGACAAAAAACAACCUUUACAAGUUUUUAAAGGGGGUGCACGGAGGCAAAUGUCUCGAAUGUGUGUUGAUAAAAAGAUGACGAAUAAUCAUUGAUCAAUUUCUUCUUUUCUGGCUCUUGCUUCUGUAUAUAACGCCAUGGCCUUGUCCAUGACCUUGGCAUCCAAUAGAAGCUGCGUUCUUUUCUUGCUGCAAGGAUGAGUAGACAUGUACUCUUUCAACGAUGAUGAAUUCCCACCGACCUUUCCGAGCUUCUCGUAGACCUUAGGGGCAAUGCGUGGAUCAAAACCAGCGGAAGCGAGCAGCAUGAUUCCAAUGUGAUCCGCCUCUAUCUCCAUCCUACAUAGGAUAUAUAGGCAACAUGUAUCAAUCAUGCAUGGAGACUUUUACGAGGAGAAAUAGUUGUAAAUCAGCAUGAACGAUAUGAUGUGAAACCGAGUAUAUACUUUCGUGAGAAAGGCAGGCUGAGGAGGUAUUCGGUCAGCUUAUCAAUAAGGUCCGGCGCAUCGAUAAAGAUGAGCAGGAAAACCGUGAGCAUGAAAAUCCACAUGUGCUUGGUGAGCUUCUCUGCGGCGUGCCUUGCAAUGGCGUGCGCAACCUACAAGCAAAAUAAGGUCCGGCCGGCUGCUACGACUACGAGACGAUACAAAUAACCACCCAAUAUAAUCUACCUGGCACAGUAUGUACAUACCUCGUGCCCUAGCACCGCUGCGAUCUCAGCGUCGGUGUUGAACUUGUCGAGCAGGCCGGUGUAGACUAUGAUCUUGCCACCGGGUGCGCACAUGGCGUUCACUUGCUUAUUGUCGACCACGAUUACCUCCCACUUGAACCCGUCGAGAUGCUUGAUCAUUGCCUGCGACGCUCCCCGUGGAGCCUUCUUCUUCGGGCUCAGCGCCGCGUCGCCGGCGCAUGUUUCUCCAUCAAGGAGCUUAUCGUCCUCGUGGCCGGCGAGGCUGCGUCCGGCCGCGCCGAUGAUCUCCACGGCGAUGCUGUUGACACGGACGGAAUCAGGGUGGGACGGAGCGAGGACCUUGUCGCCCAGCUCCUUCUUCUCGUUGUUGAACUGCGACUCGCCGAGCUUAAGCUCUCCCGAGUGCGUGAGGACGACGAAGUGGCGGCGGUUUGUGUAGGGCACGGUCUCGAAGGUGCCGUAGCAGAUCGUGACCACCACACCGCCGACGAUGACGACCCCCGCGAUGACUAUCUGGACUUUCACCUCGUUAGAACUUCUUGGUCGCCUGGAGGAGUAGUACCGUGGGCGUGGGACCGCUGGCGCAUGCGGCGACGGCGGUGGUCGACGGACGAGAGAGUCACGGCCGGGCGAUUUCAGGGCCUCGUGAGAUCGCCGCGUUGACGGCGCGUGGUAGUAGCGCCUGGCGGUCGGCAGCGGCGGAACAGUCGUUCGGGCGGCGGGCUUGGGCCGGAGUAGCCCGGACAGCGCAGGGCGCAGAUUCCUGAUCAAGGCGCUCAUGUUCUCUCAGUUAG
This 17731-nucleotide long non-coding RNA is filed under the name Triticum aestivum (bread wheat). RNAcentral describes it as "long non-coding RNA (TAES_LNC012715)". The record is from RNAcentral. Lineage: Eukaryota; Viridiplantae; Streptophyta; Magnoliopsida; Poales; Poaceae.